Molecule: long non-coding RNA, 772 nt
Organism: Sorghum bicolor (sorghum)
Lineage: Eukaryota; Viridiplantae; Streptophyta; Magnoliopsida; Poales; Poaceae
Exons: 4
Source: RefSeq, a predicted model, not a curated record
GCCUGGGUGCCCCCUUCCCCCGGCGUGCCCCCGACACGGCAUUGCAGGGCGAGCGAAGCCGUGCAGCUUCUCAGAUGGCUCCACAAGGUGUGCGUGAUGGGAUGCUCCUGCGUCGGCGCACCUCCCCGUCUUCUCACGCCGGCAGUGUGGUAACUACGACAUUAUUGCUUACUGAGGACCUUGUUGACAACAUCAUAAGACCAGACUCAGUGGAUAUCCAUAUUUUCAAGAUGUCACUUCAUUUCCUUCCAAUUCUACAUUACCAAGCAAAGCAAGCUCCAGUUUGUCUUCAUGUCUUGAUAACAUGGGAUAUGGGAAUACCACCCACUUGAUGAUACUAUGAUAGUCGAGAGCACAUAUACAUCUUGCUUUGGCCAAUGCAAAGGACAGAGGAUGUGAUCCAUGUUCAUACUUCCCGAAAGGAGUCCAUCGAAGCAUCGGAUCAUAUGAUUCAUUGUUUCCCAACUAAUACAAGGAGGAUAAAAUGAAAGUGGAUAUUAAUCAAUGUUUUUUCUCCAUGUCAAAUACUUGCAUGUUAGCAUCAGGGCUUGGGUCGCAAAAUCAGUGUGGUUCAGAAAAUUGGUUGUGUAUCUCUAAUUUCCUUACAUUGAGUUCUAUCAGGUGUUAAAAUUUGUGUUUGGCUCACAAACAACACCACCUUUAAACAAUCAUAUUAUGUAAAAUCAGGAUCUUGCUGUAUGAACCCCAUCUGUGUAAUGCUUCAACCAGCUGUGUAAUGUUAGAACCAUACUCUAUCAUGCUAAGAAUCUUU